RNAcentral lists this ribosomal RNA (255 nucleotides) under uncultured bacterium. RNAcentral's name for it is "partial 16S ribosomal RNA". It matches the Rfam family "Bacterial small subunit ribosomal RNA", at positions 524 to 776 of the family's 1533-position model. The record is from RNAcentral.
UACGAAGGGGGGCUAGCGUUGUUCGGAAUUACUGGGCGUAAAGCGCACGUAGGCGGAUCGAUCAGUCAGGGGUGAAAUCCCAGGGCUCAACCCUGGAACUGCCUUUUGAUACUGUCGAUCUGGAGUAUGGAAGAGGUGAGUGGAAUUCCGAGUGUAGAGGUGAAAUUCGUAGAUAUUCGGAGGAACACCAGUGGCGAAGGCGGCUCACUGGUCCAUUACUGACGCUGAGGUGCGAAAGCGUGGGGAGCAAACAGG